This 89-nucleotide unclassified non-coding RNA is filed under the name Pseudomonas moraviensis. The record is from RNAcentral. Lineage: Bacteria; Pseudomonadati; Pseudomonadota; Gammaproteobacteria; Pseudomonadales; Pseudomonadaceae.
UGUGGGAGCGAGCUUGCUCGCGAAAGCGUCAGGUCAUUGAGCGGCUCAGUGACUGAACCGACGCCAUCGCGAGCAAGCUCGCUCCCACA